This 2392-nucleotide long non-coding RNA is filed under the name Cricetulus griseus (Chinese hamster). RNAcentral's name for it is "lncRNA (ENSCGRG00015036001.1)". The record is from RNAcentral. Lineage: Eukaryota; Metazoa; Chordata; Mammalia; Rodentia; Cricetidae.
CUGGGCUAGCUGGCAGACUCCAUCUAAAAGGAAGACAGUAUCGUUUACAUCUUCAAGCCUUUAGACUAAGAUUCAUAGUGUUUCUACUAUUGCUUUUGGGAUGAAACACUUUGAUUUCUAGAACAAACCUUACAGCUCAUUUGAACAUUCCACUCAGCUGAACGGAAUGUUUUGAGAUGAUGCUGUCAUUCGUUUUAUUUUGUUUUGGAAUAGAGUCUCAUACCAGCCUUGAGUUUGAGAGCCUCCUACCUCGGCCUCCCGAGUGCUGGGAUGACAGAUAUGCACCACCAUGCCUGGCUCACGUUAGGGUGUUUUUGGAAAUGCAGCAUAAUAUAAUACAGAAACAAACAGUCAAAUUUCAGUUCAGGUCUAAUACCAGCAACAUAAGAUUGCCAUUACAAGGCGUCAUUGUUCCUACACAGCCCCGUUGUUUCUGUUCUGUCUCCCAAGGCAGAGAGCACACGAAUGCCAAAAAAUGAAUGAAGCAUAUAGAACGAUGAGAGAGCCCUGGCUACUAUAGAGCUGGCUGGAGAGUCAAUAUGAAUGAACUCUGGUUCACCAAAGAGAUCUCACUAAUGUGUAAAUGGACCUUGCCUGCGUCCGCGAAGCCGAGCAGAUCUCCACGCACUGAGCAUCCAGAUAGUCGUGCCGCACACCGAUGGAGCAGAGUGGACAUGGGCAGAGCUAUGGUGGUCAAACUGGGGCUGGGGUUGCUGCUUCUGGCACUGCUCCUACCCAUGCAGAUUUAUUGCAACUAAACAUCUGUUGCACUGUUUUCAAGUAACCAGAGUAUCUCUACUGCCCCAAAUCCAACUAAUGCCACCACCAGAGUAGGUGACAGUGCCCUGCAGUCAACAGCUGGUCUCCUUGCCAUCUCACUUUCUCUUCUACAUUUCUACUGUUAGAGACUCAGUCCAAGAAACAUCUCUACUUCCCCAUCUUCUAGACCCAGGCCAAAUGGUAACCACAAGUCCAGUGUGACCCGGAAGAAACAGGUCCACAUCAAAUCUACUAUUACCACACCUCAACAGAAAACAUUGAAAAUUCAUGUGAAGGGUAUGACAGAUGAUGAAUGCCAUAUUGAAUCCGCUGGAGUUUUAUGUUCAAGAUGAACUGAUAACAUCCAACAUUGACAUGAUUGCCUUGAACGAGGCUUAGGACACUUGGUCUACAUUGAAAUCAAGCAUAGGUUUUAUGUAGAAAUAAGGAUGGAAUGUGGGAUGAAGAUUCAGUUUUCAUUGGCUCAUUACCUGUGAGGCCAUAACACAGCUAGGUGAUAUUAAAGGUUUCUUUGAUGUUAUUUAUGUAUAUGUUGGAAGGAACUACCAGGUGUUACUUUAAAUUCUCAAUGUAUUGUUUCAUUACUACUAAUUUAAUAUGCUGAACUCUAGGUAAAGUUCCACAUUGUUGAGCUGUUCUCUUGAAAUUGAACAUAUUACCCCCUCCUUCUGUGGCUUUAAGUUCAGCUUAUAUUUGACCUUUAUUAGUAAUUGACAUGUGCCAGGCAACUAUGGAUUGGAAUCGACCCCCAAAUCCAGCCAUCACUGAAUAAAUCUUAUUUCAAAAGUCAAAUAGUAGGCAUUUUCCAUCAUCUUUUUUCACUCAACAAGAGUGCCAGGUUCACUUAACUGGUUCCAUCAGCAGAAUUACAUUGACUUCAGCCAAUUUCAGUUGCUGCUUUUUAUUUCUGCAUAUGUUGAGGGGUUUUCAUGAUUUAAGGUGUGGUAUGUUAGGAAGGUAAAAUUAUGAAUCUUGAAAUCCUAAAGGCAAAUAUGCAAAGGAGCCAAAACAAUAAACCUAGUAUUUGGGACAUGAAGACUGGAUGCUAACUUGCAUUGAAUUCACAAAGUCUUUUAUACAAUUUCUGUAAAUACUUUUUUUUAAAAAAAAAGAGAAAAACAAAACAAUGGAUCAGAAUAGCCACAUUUGGAAUACUUUGGUUAUCAGUUCAUAUUUUUAGAUAGUUUGACAUUGGUCCUGUGCCUGAAAGGGGGUUUGGUUCUACAGUUAAGUUUUUCCAACAGCCCUCAUAUACACAUACCUUCUAUAACAUAGACAUUCCUUGGAAAAAAACCUUUUGUUCGCAUGGUCACACACUGAUGCUUACACAUUCUGGGAUCUAAUAUGGCCACAGUAGUCUUGAUAACCAGAGUCACUUUCUCCAUCUUUAGAAACCCACAAGGAGAACAAGGAGACCUCAGACCCGAAGCUACUGUGUGUGUGAAUGAACAUUCCUCUCACCUCCUACCUGAAUGCUGUACGUCUAUUUGAUUGUAUAUUGUGUUUGUGUAUUUAUGCUUUGAUUCAUGGUAACUUCUCAUGUUAUGGAAUUGAUUUGCAUUGAACACAAACUGUAAAUAAAGCAAAGAAAUGGCUGAAAAAAAAAGAAUGU